GACGAACGCUGGCGGCGUGCUUAACACAUGCAAGUCGAACGCUGAAGCCCUGGCUUUUGUCGGGUUGGAUGAGUGGCGAACGGGUGAGUAACACGUGAGUAACCUGCCCUCUUCUUUGGGAUAACGCCCGGAAACGGGUGCUAAUACUGGAUAUUCACUGGACUUCGCAUGGGGGUUGGUGGAAAGGUUUGUUCUGGUGGGGGAUGGGCUCGCGGCCUAUUGGCUUGUUGGUGGGGUGAUGGCCUACAAAGGCUUUGACUGGUAGCAGGCCUGAGAGGGUGACCCGGGACAUUGGGAAUGGGCUACGGCCCAGCGUCCGGCGGGAGGCAGCAGUGGUGAAUAUUGCACAAUGGGCUGAAGCCUGAUGCCGCGACGCCGCGUGAGGGACUGAGGCCUUCGGGUUGUAAACCUCUUGCACUCAUGGUCAAGCCGCAACUGUGGGUUGUGGUGAGGGUAGUGGGUAAAGAAGCGCCGGCUAACUACGUG
RNAcentral lists this ribosomal RNA (486 nucleotides) under uncultured bacterium. RNAcentral's name for it is "partial 16S ribosomal RNA". It matches the Rfam family "Bacterial small subunit ribosomal RNA", at positions 28 to 507 of the family's 1533-position model. The record is from RNAcentral.